Molecule: ribosomal RNA, 496 nt
Filed under: uncultured bacterium
Lineage: Bacteria
Description: partial 16S ribosomal RNA
Rfam family: Bacterial small subunit ribosomal RNA
Source: RNAcentral
AUGAACGCUGGCGGCGUGCCUAAUACAUGCAAGUCGAGCGAACGGACGAGAAGCUUGCUUCUCUGAUGUUAGCGGCGGACGGGUGAGUAACACGUGGAUAACCUACCUAUAAGACUGGGAUAACUUCGGGAAACCGGAGCUAAUACCGGAUGAUAUUUUGAACCGCAUGGUUCAAAAGUGAAAGAUGGUCUUGCUGUCACUUAUAGAUGGAUCCGCGCUGCAUUAGCUAGUUGGUAAGGUAACGGCUUACCAAGGCAACGAUGCAUAGCCGACCUGAGAGGGUGAUCGGCCACACUGGAACUGAGACACGGUCCAGACUCCUACGGGAGGCAGCAGUAGGGAAUCUUCCGCAAUGGGCGAAAGCCUGACGGAGCAACGCCGCGUGAGUGAUGAAGGUCUUCGGAUCGUAAAACUCUGUUAUUAGGGAAGAACAUAUGUGUAAGUAACUGUGCACAUCUUGACGGUACCUAAUCAGAAAGCCACGGCUAACUACGUG